RNAcentral lists this long non-coding RNA (853 nucleotides) under Equus caballus (horse). RNAcentral's name for it is "lncRNA (ENSECAG00000041075.2)". Lineage: Eukaryota; Metazoa; Chordata; Mammalia; Perissodactyla; Equidae. The record is from RNAcentral.
UUUUCUCCCCAAAGCCCCCCGGUACAUAGUUGUGUAUUCUUCGUUGUGGGUUCCUCUAGUUGUGGCAUGUGGGACGCUGCCUCAGCGUGGUCUGACGAGCAGUGCCAUGUCCGCGCCCAGGAUUCGAACCGACGAAACACUGGGCCGCCUGCAGCGGAGCGUGCGAACUUAACCACUCGGCCACGGGGCCAGCCCCUAGCUAACAACAUUUAUUACGUCUUGACAUCAUAUGCUGAGUUGCUUGGCACCAUCUGGGUGCCGCUAUGUUUGCCAAGUUCCUAUCAUCUCUUGUCAGUCAUCGCUAAGUACCUCCUCGUCCACCAGAUGCUGUAAUCUCCGUCCACAGCCAAGUCAUUCACACUACCGAGAUGAUAAACCUCCAUGGUGUUCUUUUGCAGAAUGGAGAAGGCUGCUUCUCUCUCCUUUGGUUCAUACGACAUCAGAGUGCAACUCUGAAUGCUUGAGCUUCAGAUCGAUGUUUUAAAGAGUUUUUAGCCCUUUUUGCUUACAAGCACUCUAAUUUUCAUGGAACUUAGAAACCCAAAGGUGGCUGAGCCAAGAAGCUAGUAUGAGUUACACACAUACCCACCACUUUCCCAAAUACCUACACACCUACUAUACAUUGUGCCAAGAGCGUCUCAUUUCUCACGUUAAUGAAAUUCUCUUAAUCCAUUACCAUCUUUGUCCAAUUUCAUAGUCCAAUAAAGACCACUGCUACUGAAGUAAUAGCUAUGUUUUGUUGUCUAAAUUAAGAACUCUACUUUUAUAGUGAAAUAUAUUCAAGGGGGGGGAUGUUAUAUGUACAAAAUAUAGGUAUACCUAUGAGAAGCUAGUUUUUUUUUGUUUAAUGUAA